GACGAACGCUGGCGGCGUGCCUAAUACAUGCAAGUCGAACGAAGCUGUUUUAACUGGUGCUUGCACCGACUUAAACAACUGAGUGGCGAACGGGUGAGUAACACGUGGGUAACCUGCCCCAAAGCGGGGGAUAACAUUUGGAAACAGAUGCUAAUACCGCAUAACCACAGAAACCACAUGGUUUCUGUGUCAAAGAUGGUUUCGGCUAUCACUUUGGGAUGGACCCGCGGCGUAUUAGCUAGUUGGUGGGGUAAAGGCUUACCAAGACGAUGAUGCAUAGCCGAGUUGAGAGACUGAUCGGCCACAUUGGGACUGAGACACGGCCCAAACUCCUACGGGAGGCUGCAGUAGGGAAUCUUCCACAAUGGGCGCAAGCCUGAUGGAGCAACGCCGCGUGUGUGAUGAAGGCUUUCGGGUCGUAAAGCACUGUUGUAUGGGAAGAAAUGCUAAAAUAGGGAAUGAUUUUAGUUUGACGGUACCAUACCAGAAAGGGACGGCUAAAUACGUGCCAGCCGCCGCCGUAA
Molecule: ribosomal RNA, 524 nt
Filed under: uncultured bacterium
Lineage: Bacteria
Description: partial 16S ribosomal RNA
Rfam family: Bacterial small subunit ribosomal RNA
Source: RNAcentral